CCUACGGGUGGCAGCAGUGAGGAAUAUUGGUCAAUGGCCGGAAGGCUGAACCAGCCAUGCCGCGUGAAGGUCAGUGCCCUAUGGGCGUUAAACUUCUUUUGUGCGGGAGCAAUCAUGGUCACGUGUGGCCAGACGAGAGUACCGUACGAAUAAGCAUCGGCUAACUCCGUGCCAGCAGCCGCGGUAAUACGGGGGAUGCAAGCGUUAUCCGGAUUUAUUGGGUUUAAAGGGUGCGUAGGCUGUGAGGUAAGUCAGCGGUGAAAUGCCCCCGCUCAACGGGGUGAAGUGCCAUUGAUGCUGCCUUGCUGGAAUGCGGAGGCUGUGGGAGGAAUGUGUGGUGUAGCGGUGAAAUGCAUAGAUAUCACACAGAACACCGAUUGCGAAGGCAGCUCACGAAUCCGCGAUUGACGCUGAUGCACGAAAGCGUGGGUAUCAAACAGGAUUAGAUACCCUAGUAGUC
Molecule: ribosomal RNA, 460 nt
Filed under: uncultured bacterium
Lineage: Bacteria
Description: partial 16S ribosomal RNA
Rfam family: Bacterial small subunit ribosomal RNA
Source: RNAcentral